CCUACGGGAGGCAGCAGUGAGGAAUAUUGGUCAAUGGGCUUACCCCUGAACCAGCAAAGUCGCGUGAGGGAAGAAUGCCCUAUGGGUUUUAAACCUCUUUUGUCAGGGAGCAAAUCCCGCUACGUGUAGCCGGACUAAGAGUACCUGACGAACAAGCAUCGGCAAACUCCCUGCCAGCAGCCGCGGUAAUACGGAGGAGGCGAGCGUUAUCCGGAUUUAUUGGGUUUAAAGGGUGCGUAGGCGGAAUGCCAAGUCAGCGGUAAAAUCGCGGGGCUAAACCUCGAUCCGCCGUUGAAACUGGUGUUCUUGAGUAGGCGAGAAGUAUGCGGAAUGCGUGGUGUAGCGGUAAAAUGCAUAGAGAUCAAGAAGAACUCUGAUUGCGAAGGCAGCAUACCGGAGCCCAACUGACGCUGAAGCACGAAAGCGUGGGUAUCGAACAGGAUUAGAUACCCGAGUAGUC
This 460-nucleotide ribosomal RNA is filed under the name uncultured bacterium. RNAcentral's name for it is "partial 16S ribosomal RNA". It matches the Rfam family "Bacterial small subunit ribosomal RNA", at positions 338 to 795 of the family's 1533-position model. The record is from RNAcentral.